UACGAAGGGGGCUAGCGUUGUUCGGAAUUACUGGGCGUAAAGCGCACGUAGGCGGAUCGAUCAGUCAGGGGUGAAAUCCCAGGGCUCAACCCUGGAACUGCCUUUGAUACUGUCGAUCUGGAGUAUGGAAGAGGUGAGUGGAAUUCCGAGUGUAGAGGUGAAAUUCGUAGAUAUUCGGAGGAACACCAGUGGCGAAGGCGGCUCACUGGUCCAUUACUGACGCUGAGGUGCGAAAGCGUGGGGAGCAAACGGG
This 253-nucleotide ribosomal RNA is filed under the name uncultured bacterium. RNAcentral describes it as "partial 16S ribosomal RNA". It matches the Rfam family "Bacterial small subunit ribosomal RNA", at positions 524 to 776 of the family's 1533-position model. The record is from RNAcentral.